This 77-nucleotide transfer RNA is filed under the name bacterium. RNAcentral describes it as "tRNA-Lys". It matches the Rfam family "tRNA". Rfam says of the family: Transfer RNA (tRNA) molecules are approximately 80 nucleotides in length. Their secondary structure includes four short double-helical elements and three loops (D, anti-codon, and T loops). The record is from RNAcentral.
CCGCCCGUAGCUCAGUUUGGUAGAGCAGCUGGCUCUUAACCAGUUUGUCGUAGGUUCGAGUCCUACCGGGCGGACUA